RNAcentral lists this ribosomal RNA (461 nucleotides) under uncultured bacterium. Its description in RNAcentral is "partial 16S ribosomal RNA". It matches the Rfam family "Bacterial small subunit ribosomal RNA", at positions 28 to 507 of the family's 1533-position model. The record is from RNAcentral.
GACGAACGCUGGCGGCGUGCUUAACACAUGCAAGUCGAACGGAAAGGCCUCUUUCGGGGGGUACUCGAGUGGCGAACGGGUGAGUAACACGUGAGUAACCUGCCCUUGACUUUGGGAUAACUUCAGGAAACGGGGGCUAAUACCGGAUAGGAGCUCCUGCUGCAUGGUGGGGGUUGGAAAGUUUCGGCGGUUGGGGAUGGGCUCGGGGCUUAUCAGUUUGUGGGUGGGGUAGUGGCUUACCAAGGCGACGACCAGUAGCUGGUCUGAGAGGAUGAUCAGCCACAUUGGGACUGAGACACGGCCCGAACUCCUACGGGAGGCAGCAGUGGGGAAUCUUGCGCAAUGGGCGAAAGCCUGACGCAGCCAUGCCGCGUGAAUGAUGAAGGUCUUAGGAUUGUAAAAUUCUUUCACCGGGGACGAUAAUGACGGUACCCGGAGAAGAAGCCCCGGCUAACUUCGUG